UAACGCGUGAGGAACCUGCCUUCCAGAGGGGGACAACAGUUGGAAACGACUGCUAAUACCGCAUGAUGCGUUGGAGCCGCAUGACUCCGACGUCAAAGAUUUAUCGCUGGAAGAUGGCCUCGCGUCUGAUUAGCUAGUUGGUGAGGUAACGGCCCACCAAGGCGACGAUCAGUAGCCGGACUGAGAGGUUGGCCGGCCACAUUGGGACUGAGAUACGGCCCAGACUCCUACGGGAGGCAGCAG
This 243-nucleotide ribosomal RNA is filed under the name uncultured bacterium. RNAcentral describes it as "partial 16S ribosomal RNA". It matches the Rfam family "Bacterial small subunit ribosomal RNA", at positions 111 to 354 of the family's 1533-position model. The record is from RNAcentral.